AACUAUUUGUAGGGGUAUAUAUGCUGCAUGCCAUCUCUCUGUCUCUGUCUCUCUCUCUCUCCCUCUCUCUCUUCUGUUUUAUGUCCUGCUAUCUCCAUCCCACACCUCUAUUAGUAUGAAGACUUUCUGCCCAUCUCGACAAAUGAAUUUCAUCUUAGGAAAACCAGCAAAAUGCUACUUAGUCAAGAAGGACAAAAAUAAAAAAACACCACCUUCCCAAAUCAAAAACUCCACCACCACCCUGACUCCACAAUAAGAGGGCUACGCCAAAAUGAAUGUGGAAUCCUGAGCCGAACCAUCCAUCACAUUUCCCGAGUCUUUCAAUUAAUGACACUGCAAUCAGAUCGAUGGCGUGUAAUAAGAAAAGAGCUUUGCAUUUCUAUACCUAUUAAUUCGCUGAGUAACUCCAGAGGUAAAACGUGACCAGAAAGGGAAAGGGGAAGAAAAAAUUCAUCGUCCGAGCAAGAUUUUUAGGGAGGUUUGGGCCAGUUUACACAAGUCUCCCCCUUUCCUCCCCCACCUCCCAAACAACCUGAAAAGUCAAAAGAAAAAUCAACUAUGCUUUUCCU
Chrysemys picta bellii (western painted turtle) is the source of this 569-nucleotide long non-coding RNA. RefSeq lists it as uncharacterized. NCBI's taxonomy places the organism in Eukaryota, Metazoa, Chordata, Testudines, Emydidae. The record is from RefSeq and is a predicted model, not a curated record.